Long non-coding RNA from Alosa sapidissima (American shad), 573 nucleotides. RefSeq lists it as uncharacterized. The transcript has 4 exons. The record is from RefSeq and is a predicted model, not a curated record. NCBI's taxonomy places the organism in Eukaryota, Metazoa, Chordata, Actinopteri, Clupeiformes, Clupeidae.
GGAAAGUUCUCUCUCUCACACGGGGGAAGACAAAGUGGGCUGGUUGACACAGCAGUCUGCAGAAGGCCAGAUUGACUCCGCCGCAGCGGCCCGUGCUGCGCCGCCACCAAGGAGGAGGAGGAGGAAGAGGAGGAGGAGGAAGAGGGCUCAUCGUCUGUCAGACAGUGGAUCUCAAGGGAGGCCAGACUGAAAGGAUCUGGUGGUUAUUGUGAAGAGAAGAACUCUGCUGGCGUGUAAUGCCAGCCGCUAUAAACUGCAUUGAAUAUUACCAUCAGUGUGCUGAAUCACAUCACACCACCAGCAGCAGGCCUCUGAGCGGCUCCGCAGCAACCUGCCCAUCAAACGCACCUAUGCCCGAACACACGGCCACCGUGCCGCGAGUCAGCCGGAUCCAUCAGUGUUGCUGACAGAAAGACAGCUCGUCUCUGGGCCUUAAUUGGCGGCACUGCAGCACCCUCUCCAGCGCAGGACUACUAUUCCUAAGCCCAGCGAGACCCAAGCACAACCUUCAGGAGACAGUGGAGACCCAAGCACAACCUUCAGGAGACAGUGGAGAGAGAUGCAGUGUACACA